CUCCAAGCAGUUGGUCACCAUUUGAUCAGUGGACAAAGAAGGCAAGAUGACUCAAAUGAUAAAACAGAAACUCAAGUAAGGCUCAGCUGAAGAUGUCACUGCUGUGGACUUCUUUUCCCAGCCCAGGAAAAUACAGUUCUUGGGGCCAUGGAUCUUUUCCCA
Long non-coding RNA from Gavialis gangeticus (Gharial), 162 nucleotides. RefSeq lists it as uncharacterized. The transcript is spliced from 3 exons. NCBI's taxonomy places the organism in Eukaryota, Metazoa, Chordata, Crocodylia, Gavialidae. The record is from RefSeq and is a predicted model, not a curated record.